Lotus japonicus is the source of this 1874-nucleotide long non-coding RNA. RefSeq lists it as uncharacterized. The record is from RefSeq and is a predicted model, not a curated record. Lineage: Eukaryota; Viridiplantae; Streptophyta; Magnoliopsida; Fabales; Fabaceae. The transcript has 13 exons.
UCACAUCAUAAAUACCUAACCGCUUCAAUUUUACCCCCAGUUUCAAGAACGAUGAUGAUAAUAUAGCCGUUGGUUGGCGGUGGCGCGAAGAAGAAUCACAGAGUGAUCGAGUUCACGCAGUAAACCAUCAUCGCUCUUUGUUUUCCGGUUAGGGUUUCUCUUUCCCCUCUUUCUUUCUUUCUUUCUUUCUUUCUUGUUCUUUCUCCUACCCGGCGAUUACUGAUUACUGGUUAGGGUAUCCACUGUUUGUUGUUUCAUAUGAAACCCUUGAUAUCGGAAAACCCUGUUUCUUCGAUUUUCUCGAUUUCGCCCUAUGGGUGUGCAUGUUUCGCUUUCUUCAAGUCACCGAGCUUGCAGCCUUGCAAAACAGGGGCAUGCUGGAGCAGCUAUUGCAUAUGGAUCUCUUCUUCUUAAAGGCACGCUUCUUCCAACAACUUAUAUCAGGUGUUAGUUAUUGUAAUGCCAUGCAGGUAUGCCAUCGUGACUUGAAGUGGUAAAAUACAUUGUUGGAUGGUAGUCCCGCUCCUCGUUUGGAAAUUUCUGGUUUUGGCUAUUCAAAUUAAAGUAUUUGUGCCUGGUAGAGAAAGUUUGAUUGGUGUUAGCAAAAUGACCCUUAUACGGUUGGAGAAUGUGUGUUAUGUGCUUCACUUUCUCCCCACACUCGCAGACAUUUGCAGCGCUAUGACAGAGGGUGUCGCGGUCGCCAAGUUGCGGAGGAUGAGUGGGACAUAUGCAUCCCCUAUACUACAGAUACAUGAGUUUCUUGUGAUUAAAGCCAGAAGGUUCACAGACUGUAGUUUGGAUACUAGAAUUCUAUUGAUGUACUUCAAAUUUAUACUGGUGAUGAUUGAACUGAUGUGUAUGCUUUAAGGUUUUUGCAAAGACACUUCAAGGGAUUGGGAUUCUUGUUUCUAGAGUUCCAAAGGAGACUAAGAUUCCUACAAGUUCCUUGCAAUAUCCAUUUGAGGCAAGCCCUGAAGAAGGCAAAUGAAUAUGGUGCAGUAGAAAUUUGGAUGAAUGAGAGAGUAUGAAGAGCUUGUGCAAACAGCUGUGCAUAUUUUGUUUAUGGCUUUCUUGAGAGCUCUACUAUGAAGGCUGCUGAAUACUGACUCAUAUGGCAGUUUGAGGGGAUUCGACCUGAUCUGAUUUGAUGCAGAGUAGAGAGCUUCCCAUUUAUAUGCGCCCACGACACUGGCACCUGCUCGGAACUUCAGGUUAUUGGGCUAAAAGUCUGGAACAGGAGAAGAGGAUGGUUUUCUGUCUCCUUGAAGCUAUUAGACAAGCAAGCUUUCGGUGUAGAGACAACUUCAAAUCUUGUUAAUUUAUUUGAUAUGCUGCACCAGAACAGUACAUCAUGAGCACACAAAUCCCAUAUGUAUCUUCAGCUCCAGUUGUAAAACUGCACUGUCCCCAAUCUCAUGACAGUUUGUGAAGUGUUUGAAGGGGCUCCACAAGACCACUUUUAAUCUCACACGUUGUUACAUCUUCUAGUGUGGUUUUCUUUUGUGAAAAGGUGGAAAAGAGAUAAGGAGUGGAACAAGAAAAGAGUGCUCAAUAGAGAAAAAAUCAUAAAAAGUAUGAAACAAUUGUAUUGGCGGGUGAGUGAGAAAAUUAAAAAGAAAAAGUAAGAUUCUCAUGUUGAAUAUUCACUAGUUUGCCAUUUCCCCCUUUUAGUUAAUUUUUCUUUUUUAUUUUCUUCUUUUACAAUUGUAUUGCUUGUUAUAGUACGUUUGUAUUAGGAAUUCUCAUUGUAAUUUUUCUUUUUAGAUUGUAUCUAGGAUCAAAUCUUUGUACUUUGUAGUUCCUUUGUAUUAGGAUAUAGUUUUGUACUUUUCUUUUUCUCUUGUAAGAGGACUUUGGACAUUGUUUUGGGA